This is a long non-coding RNA of Aegilops tauschii subsp. strangulata, 1875 nucleotides long. RefSeq lists it as uncharacterized. NCBI's taxonomy places the organism in Eukaryota, Viridiplantae, Streptophyta, Magnoliopsida, Poales, Poaceae. The record is from RefSeq and is a predicted model, not a curated record.
UUCGCACAGGCCACCCGCUUGCUCUCGCUCGCUAACAGCGGGGCCUGCCUCAUCUUCUUCCCCUCCCACACGCCAUGCCAUCCAGCGCGCACGCCGCCGCACCGCGUCCGAUCUUAGCGGGAUCGCAUCCCCAAGGCUUUCCCCUCGCCCACUAUAGCGUCCUAUAAAUACCCUAGGUCUUCCUCUGUCGAUCCCCCUUUAAACCCUCGCCCAAGUCCAUCUAUACUGCACGCUCGCGCCGUUUGGAUCUCCGCCGGAGCCGAAGCCUUCCGCCGUUAGUUUCGACGCCGGUAGUUGCACGACCUCGCCCGCACUUCGCCGGAGUGGGAGCACAUUCGAGCCCAACGACGUCGCUUCGCUCGCAUCUGUCGUCCCCGACCACCAUCUCCUCCACCUCCCGAUCCACCUAGCCGAGCCGCUUCCACCGGACACCACCGCCGACAGCCACAGCCACCGGAGCAGACGCCAUCUUCACCACCGACGCCACCGCCAGAGCUGAAGCUCUCCAAUAUUUCCAUGCUGACGUCCGUCGUCCUAGACCUCUACCUCCACCAUCCCUGACGCGCCACUCCCCGCCGCGCCAGACCGACGUCACCGCUGCCUUCCUCGACCACCGGAGCAUCUCCGCUGACCGCCCCGAGCCGCCCGCCGCCGUCGACCUCGUCAGCGUCCGCCCGCUAUAUUUCUUGAUGAGUAAGAGUUACGAAACAGGGUUACGGUCUACACUCAACCUACCGAUGGCAUUUAUGGGACUCCACACCCGUUUGAUUGUUUCUGCUGAGACUUAUGAGGUCAUCUUCAGAGCUACCGCUUGGAUCCGUACGUGGUCCUUACUCACUCCUAUGGAAUCCAGGGAGCCUUUGGUUACUGGGUGCAACCAGUGGGAGAUAGUAGCACGGUCUAUAUUCAACCGGUUCAGAUGGCGGUCGCAUAACAGGAUAGGAGUCUAGAGAGCUUAUCCAUCUUAUUGCCAUUCCGGUUGUGAUUGUCAGCAUGAACUUUGACUUAUUUUUAUUUUGCGCUCCAUUUGCGAGUUGUAAUACUUUGGCGACUUUGUGAUACUCUGCGAACUUUUAAUAAGAUGGCUGCAUGCAUCAUUAUGAUGCAAGGCCGGGGGUACGCCUCCAUUUCCAAAAAAAUAUCUCCCUGGCCUGUCCUUUUGCUCGGGAAGUUUGGCACUCCUUCCGCAGUAAUGCCGAGAGGGCUGCUGCUAUUGGCUCAACAUCUAUCUCCAUCAAGGAAUGGUGGAGGAAGACCAUUGGUAUUGGGAAGACGCUGGACUCGCACAAGCAGAUCACCACAGCGGCCUACGUCAUUUGGAAGCUUUGGAAGGAGCGCAGCCGACGUACCUUCGAGGGGAAAAGGUGCUCGCCUGAAACUGUCGCCGCCAUGGCUAGAGAGGAGACUUCACUUUUUUGGGCGGCAAACAGCUGAGGUUGUGUGCCCCCUCUUAUUUUCUUUCUUCUCUUCUCUCUAGUUUUUGAUCUGAUUCGAGUUUUGAGGUGCUCUCCCUCAGCUAGCCUCCGGCUUUGAAGAUGAUAUGUGUAUGACACCCUGGGACCUUGGCCCUUUCCCUCUACUUAAUGAAUUGGCAGAACACCUGCCGUUGCUCGUCAAAAAAAAAGUUCGCCGUCAAGUUAGAGUGUUGACAUAAAGAUCUUGUGUAGUUUGUUAUUUAAACCAAUCAUGGCUUGUACUCCCUCUGUUCCGAAAUGUAUGUCGCUGGGGAAUAUGUUCCGACCAGGUGAAAAUGGGCAAAUGGACCUUUAUGCCCCCAGUUCAAACUUUGAAUCAGUCCGUCUUCUUCCUCAGCGUCUUCCACCUCUGCCUCCGCCCCGGCGCUCCACCUCCGCCUCCGCGGCUCCGCCACCCACC